GAUGAAGAACGUAGUGAAAUGCGAUAAGUAAUGUGAAUUGCAGAAUUCAGUGAAUCAUCGAAUCUUUGAACGCACAUUGCGCCCCUUGGUAUUCCGAGGGGCAUGCCUGUUCGAGCGUCAUUAUAACCCUCAAGCUCAGCUUGGUGUUGGGGCCUGCUGCACUGGCAGCCCUUAAAAUCAGUGGCGGCGCCAUCUGGCUCUAAGCGUAGUAAUUCUUCUCGCUAUGGAGUCCUGGUGGAUGCUUGCCAUCAACCCCCAAUUUUUCUAUGGUUGACCUCGUAUCAGGUAGGGAUACCCGCUGAACUUAAGCAUAUCAAUAAGCGGAGGA
RNAcentral lists this unclassified non-coding RNA (328 nucleotides) under soil metagenome. Its description in RNAcentral is "partial contains 5.8S ribosomal RNA, internal transcribed spacer 2, and large subunit ribosomal RNA". The stretch from base 1 to 120 matches the Rfam family "5.8S ribosomal RNA", at positions 35 to 154 of the family's 154-position model. The record is from RNAcentral.